Molecule: ribosomal RNA, 2901 nt
Filed under: Escherichia coli
Lineage: Bacteria; Pseudomonadati; Pseudomonadota; Gammaproteobacteria; Enterobacterales; Enterobacteriaceae
Description: 23S ribosomal RNA
Rfam family: Bacterial large subunit ribosomal RNA
Source: RNAcentral
UUAAGCGACUAAGCGUACACGGUGGAUGCCCUGGCAGUCAGAGGCGAUGAAGGACGUGCUAAUCUGCGAUAAGCGUCGGUGAGGUGAUAUGAACCGUUAUAACCGGCGAUUUCCGAAUGGGGAAACCCAGUGUGUUUCGACACACUAUCAUUAACUGAAUCCAUAGGUUAAUGAGGCGAACCGGGGGAACUGAAACAUCUAAGUACCCCGAGGAAAAGAAAUCAACCGAGAUUCCCCCAGUAGCGGCGAGCGAACGGGGAGCAGCCCAGAGCCUGAAUCAGUGUGUGUGUUAGUGGAAGCGUCUGGAAAGGCGUGCGAUACAGGGUGACAGCCCCGUACACAAAAAUGCACAUACUGUGAGCUCGAUGAGUAGGGCGGGACACGUGGUAUCCUGUCUGAAUAUGGGGGGACCAUCCUCCAAGGCUAAAUACUCCUGACUGACCGAUAGUGAACCAGUACCGUGAGGGAAAGGCGAAAAGAACCCCGGCGAGGGGAGUGAAAAAGAACCUGAAACCGUGUACGUACAAGCAGUGGGAGCCUCUUAAUGGGGUGACUGCGUACCUUUUGUAUAAUGGGUCAGCGACUUAUAUUCUGUAGCAAGGUUAACCGAAUAGGGGAGCCGAAGGGAAACCGAGUCUUAACUGGGCGUUAAGUUGCAGGGUAUAGACCCGAAACCCGGUGAUCUAGCCAUGGGCAGGUUGAAGGUUGGGUAACACUAACUGGAGGACCGAACCGACUAAUGUUGAAAAAUUAGCGGAUGACUUGUGGCUGGGGGUGAAAGGCCAAUCAAACCGGGAGAUAGCUGGUUCUCCCCGAAAGCUAUUUAGGUAGCGCCUCGUGAAUUCAUCUCCGGGGGUAGAGCACUGUUUCGGCAAGGGGGUCAUCCCGACUUACCAACCCGAUGCAAACUGCGAAUACCGGAGAAUGUUAUCACGGGAGACACACGGCGGGUGCUAACGUCCGUCGUGAAGAGGGAAACAACCCAGACCGCCAGCUAAGGUCCCAAAGUCAUGGUUAAGUGGGAAACGAUGUGGGAAGGCCCAGACAGCCAGGAUGUUGGCUUAGAAGCAGCCAUCAUUUAAAGAAAGCGUAAUAGCUCACUGGUCGAGUCGGCCUGCGCGGAAGAUGUAACGGGGCUAAACCAUGCACCGAAGCUGCGGCAGCGACACUAUGUGUUGUUGGGUAGGGGAGCGUUCUGUAAGCCUGCGAAGGUGUACUGUGAGGUAUGCUGGAGGUAUCAGAAGUGCGAAUGCUGACAUAAGUAACGAUAAAGCGGGUGAAAAGCCCGCUCGCCGGAAGACCAAGGGUUCCUGUCCAACGUUAAUCGGGGCAGGGUGAGUCGACCCCUAAGGCGAGGCCGAAAGGCGUAGUCGAUGGGAAACAGGUUAAUAUUCCUGUACUUGGUGUUACUGCGAAGGGGGGACGGAGAAGGCUAUGUUGGCCGGGCGACGGUUGUCCCGGUUUAAGCGUGUAGGCUGGUUUUCCAGGCAAAUCCGGAAAAUCAAGGCUGAGGCGUGAUGACGAGGCACUACGGUGCUGAAGCAACAAAUGCCCUGCUUCCAGGAAAAGCCUCUAAGCAUCAGGUAACAUCAAAUCGUACCCCAAACCGACACAGGUGGUCAGGUAGAGAAUACCAAGGCGCUUGAGAGAACUCGGGUGAAGGAACUAGGCAAAAUGGUGCCGUAACUUCGGGAGAAGGCACGCUGAUAUGUAGGUGAAGUCCCUCGCGGAUGGAGCUGAAAUCAGUCGAAGAUACCAGCUGGCUGCAACUGUUUAUUAAAAACACAGCACUGUGCAAACACGAAAGUGGACGUAUACGGUGUGACGCCUGCCCGGUGCCGGAAGGUUAAUUGAUGGGGUUAGCGGUAACGCGAAGCUCUUGAUCGAAGCCCCGGUAAACGGCGGCCGUAACUAUAACGGUCCUAAGGUAGCGAAAUUCCUUGUCGGGUAAGUUCCGACCUGCACGAAUGGCGUAAUGAUGGCCAGGCUGUCUCCACCCGAGACUCAGUGAAAUUGAACUCGCUGUGAAGAUGCAGUGUACCCGCGGCAAGACGGAAAGACCCCGUGAACCUUUACUAUAGCUUGACACUGAACAUUGAGCCUUGAUGUGUAGGAUAGGUGGGAGGCUUUGAAGUGUGGACGCCAGUCUGCAUGGAGCCGGCCUUGAAAUACCACCCUUUAAUGUUUGAUGUUCUAACGUUGGCCCCUGAUCGGGGUUGCGGACAGUGUCUGGUGGGUAGUUUGACUGGGGCGGUCUCCUCCUAAAGAGUAACGGAGGAGCACGAAGGUUGGCUAAUCCUGGUCGGACAUCAGGAGGUUAGUGCAAUGGCAUAAGCCAGCUUGACUGCGAGCGUGACGGCGCGAGCAGGUGCGAAAGCAGGUCAUAGUGAUCCGGUGGUUCUGAAUGGAAGGGCCAUCGCUCAACGGAUAAAAGGUACUCCGGGGAUAACAGGCUGAUACCGCCCAAGAGUUCAUAUCGACGGCGGUGUUUGGCACCUCGAUGUCGGCUCAUCACAUCCUGGGGCUGAAGUAGGUCCCAAGGGUAUGGCUGUUCGCCAUUUAAAGUGGUACGCGAGCUGGGUUUAGAACGUCGUGAGACAGUUCGGUCCCUAUCUGCCGUAGGCGCUGGAGAACUGAGGGGGGCUGCUCCUAGUACGAGAGGACCGGAGUGGACGCAUCACUGGUGUUCGGGUUGUCAUGCCAAUGGCACUGCCCGGUAGCUAAAUGCGGAAGAGAUAAGUGCUGAAAGCAUCUAAGCACGAAACUUGCCCCGAGAUGAGUUCUCCCUGACUCUUUAAGGGUCCUGAAGGAACGUUGAAGACGACGACGUUGAUAGGCCGGGUGUGUAAGCGCAGCGAUGCGUUGAGCUAACCGGUACUAAUGAACCGUGAGGCUUAACCU